AUUGAACGCUGGCGGCAUGCCUUACACAUGCAAGUCGAACGGCAGCACGGGAGCAAUCCUGGUGGCGAGUGGCGAACGGGUGAGUAAUAUAUCGGAACGUGCCCAGUCGUGGGGAUAACGUAGCGAAAGCUACGCUAAUACCGCAUACGAUCUAUGGAUGAAAGCGGGGGAUCGCAAGACCUCGCGCGAUUGGAGCGGCCGAUAUCAGAUUAGGUAGUUGGUGAGGUAAAGGCUCACCAAGCCGACGAUCUGUAGCUGGUCUGAGAGGACGACCAGCCACACUGGGACUGAGACACGGCCCAGACUCCUACGGGAGGCAGCAGUGGGGAUUUUGGACAAUGGGCGCAAGCCUGAUCCAGCAAUGCCGCGUGCAGGAUGAAGGCCUUC
This 387-nucleotide ribosomal RNA is filed under the name uncultured bacterium. RNAcentral describes it as "bacterial SSU rRNA". It matches the Rfam family "Bacterial small subunit ribosomal RNA", at positions 30 to 419 of the family's 1533-position model. The record is from RNAcentral.